Molecule: long non-coding RNA, 2739 nt
Organism: Oncorhynchus keta (chum salmon)
Lineage: Eukaryota; Metazoa; Chordata; Actinopteri; Salmoniformes; Salmonidae
Exons: 2
Source: RefSeq, a predicted model, not a curated record
ACCAGUUGGGCUCACACAUCGGCCAUGGUAGCAGUGUUGGGAAGCUCCCCAACACCUCCCACUUCCACCUCCCACCCCCACCCGGGCCUCACCACUCAGCGUCAGCCACCGGGCCAAGUCUAGGACAGACAGCAACACAGGAGCCACCGAGGACCAGGGCCACAGGCAAAAGACAGCAGCACAAAGGUCAGUCUGAGCUGGGGUCUUAGACAAGAAACAAACCAGAGAGGUUCUAACACCAUCCACUUUGCUAGUCAAAACAACCCUUUUCUUUAGUGAUGUGAAGAGAAGACAGGUAAGGUAUGAUUGGGUGGGUGGGUGUGCCAGAACAUUGGCAUUGAUAUUUUACUGUGUAACUCUAUUGCUUGGUCCUCAGGCCCCAGGUGCAGUGCUGCAUCUCUGGUCAAUUGGGAGUCUGAGAUGAAGCACUGUAGCUCGGGAAGGAGGGUGCUGCUACAGCGGGGUGAGCAGUCUGGGACAGAGGGAUAGCUCUUUCUAUCUCUAUGCCUUAUAAUCAUGGAGACCAUGCAUGGAAGCUGUUAUUGUGGCGAUAUGUGCCCAGAAUAUUAGAGAGGGAGGACCCCCGUGACUGGUUCUGCCUCUCUCUCUCUCUCUCUCGUCUGGACACAUAUCUGAGAUACCAAAUCAUCAUUCCACCCAUGAUGCUAACAUGUUAAUGGACCAUUAAAGACUAGUUCCUGGUGUGUUUUCCAUGCUAUAAUUGAUCUCCUCCUCCUGAGUGCAUUUACAGCAUUACCCUGGGCUUUUCCUCGCCCCCGGGGUCCAGUUUUCCCAGGAAUCCCUUGGGUAAUCACAACGGGGAUUCCUGGAAAUACUGUUCUUGGGGGUGGGGCUUGACUACAUGGAUCUGGGAUAGUAAUACAAUCUGCUUGUAAGAUGUUCCACAGGCAUGUGGUUGCAUCGUAAUGUCAUGUGAAAAUGAUAUGACUGGGGAAGGACGAUAAAUAAACAGAUGGAACUAGCUACUGCAUACGGUACAGAAUAUCUUGAUGCAAGGCCAUUCUGGGUGCAUACUCUGAUGUAAAUUACGCUACACCAUUUUAUAUGCAUUUCACUGUCAGAGGAUCUAAAGGCAUAUCAUGUUAUAUAACAGCUAUUUAUAACUCCACUUUUUAUUUUUAUUUUUUAUGGGCAAUGUUGCCACUGUGCAAAUGUUAAAACUCAAUAAAAGUUAACAAUUCCAACAUGUCUAUCUCAGUCUUUCAACUUUAUUGCAACACUGCAAUUUUGAUCAUCAUGUAAACUUGCUGGAAUGACCCAAAUCUAAUUCUGGACAAACUGCCAAAUAUGAACACAGUGCCCUCUACGUGUAGAUAUCAACACUACAUAUUGCUUGUCAAAAUUUUCACCACAAGGGGUCAGAGUUGAGCCACUUCCUUACAUGUACUAGAGGUAGGCCAUCAUCCUACAUGUGCUACAUCAGAUUGCCAUUAUGGCAGACCAAAAAUAUUUGAGUCUUAACAUAUUUUAGUUCACAUGGAGUAGCAUUUAGACAUAGAGGAAAUGUGUAUGAGUGUUUGUGGGCAUUAUUCUACAAACAUCUUCAAGAUGACAAGGAGCGUGUACCCCAAACGUGAUGUUCUGUGUCCAAUACAAGACGAGUUGAAACAAUGUGUUAGUUUUAGACAAAUAGAUCUCCUUUGGUAGGAAAACCUAAAUCACUUUUGUAUGUGUCAAUUUAUUAAAAUGGGUAACUUGGACAAAGCUCAUAUGACUACAGGCAGGGGACUGACUGUACAAUGUUAAUAUAAUAUGUGAAACAAUAAAAACCUUUAUUUGGGCACUGGGAAAAGGGAGAAGAAAGUUUUUUGACAUGAAAUCAUUUAUGAAGAGAUUUAGAAAAUCUCUGGGAAUGUAGCGUUCUUUUGGGCUCCAGAAACAGGUGCUAUACAACCUUACACCUUCAGGCUUUCAGGAAGAACAUGCGUCAAAGUAGGCGGGUAGAUAGUCACAUUCGUAAUAGCUUCGCUACACAAUAUCAUCUAUUCAUCCAUUGACCGUCUACUAGACAUAGAACAUUGUGUGGGCUGCAGAAAUCUGAGCUUUCUCCAGCCUGGUAUAAGAAAGACGAGCACCCCCUCUGUAAAUGUUCCCUAGCUCUGCUGUCGCCUGCCUGCAGUCAGUUGUAAGAGGGUCUUCACGGGAGGGGGAAUGUAAACAGGCACAGCAUAUGAGUAGGAAGGCAGGUAACGAGAUACAGGGAGAGGGUGGCCCUUUAAAACGCACUCCCUUCAAGGUUAUCUGGAGACACCUCUGGGAUCUCAUCCAAUCAACAGGAGACUCCUCAGGGACCUCAUUCAACCAUCUGGAGACUCCUCUGGGAUCUCUUUCAACCAUCUGGAGACUCCUCAGAGACCUCUUUCAACCAUCUGGAGACUCCUCAGAGACCUCUUUCAACCAUCUGGAGACUCCUCGGGGACCUCUUUCAAUCAUGUGGAGAAUCCUCAGGGACCUCUUCCAACCAACUGUGGAAGCCCAUUCCUCAAAGGAGGGUGGGGGAGGGGAGUGCACACACACAGACACACAAGGCACUUCUGGCAUGCCUAUAUGCUGUAAGCUCUUGGUUAUGUUUGGCUCUACUUGCCAACUGGAAUCCACUACUGUGUUGAUUUGAAAUGUUAAUGCUGUUCCCUACUGUUGUUCCCUACUGUGAGAAACAGUGGAGACACAGAGAAGGUAAUGUAAUUCACAGCAGUAAAUAAACAUAUUCAUACUUUG